RNAcentral lists this ribosomal RNA (827 nucleotides) under uncultured soil bacterium. Its description in RNAcentral is "bacterial SSU rRNA". It matches the Rfam family "Bacterial small subunit ribosomal RNA", at positions 8 to 833 of the family's 1533-position model. The record is from RNAcentral.
AGAGUUUGAUCCUGGCUCAGAGCGAACGCUGGCGGCGUGCUUAACACAUGCAAGUCGAACGCGCAGCAUCCUGUAGCAAUACAGGGUGUGGGCGCGUGGCGAACGGGUGCGUAACACGUGGAUAACCUUCCUUCAGGUGGGGAAUAACCCAGUGAAAAUUGGGCUAAUACCGCAUAACAUGACGAUGCCACAUGGUGUUGUCUUCAAAGCCGCAAGGCGCCAGAAGAGGGAUCCGCGGCCGAUUAGCUUGUUGGCGAGGUAAUGGCUCACCAAGGCUUUGAUCGGUAGCCGGACUGAGAGGUUGGCCGGCCACACUGGAACUGAGACACGGUCCAGACUCCUACGGGAGGCAGCAGUGGGGAAUCUUGCACAAUGGACGAAAGUCUGAUGCAGCAACGCCGCGUGGGGGAUGAAGCUUUUCGGAGUGUAAACCCCUUUCGACCCGGAAGAAUGCCCGCAAGGGUUUGACGGUACGGGUAUAAGAAGCCCCGGCUAACUACGUGCCAGCAGCCGCGGUAAUACGUAGGGGGCCAGCGUUGCUCGGAAUUACUGGGCGUAAAGGGUCCGUAGGCGGUGUGGCAAGUCGGGAGUGAAAUCUCUGGGCUUAACCCAGAGGCUGCUUCCGAAACUGCCAUGCUAGAGUGUGAGAGAGGCGAGUGGAAUUACGGGUGUAGCGGUGAAAUGCGUAGAUAUCCGUAGGAACAUCCGAGGCGAAGGCGGCUCGCUGGAUCACAACUGACGCUGAGGGACGAAAGCUAGGGGAGCAAACAGAUUAGAUACCCUGGUAGUCCUAGCCCUAACCAUCAUGACUUGGGGGUGUGCCCUGU